CCUGGCGACAAUAGCGCGGUGGUCCCACCUGACCCCAUGCCGAACUCAGAAGUGAAACGCCGUAGCGCCGAUGGUAGUGUGGGGUCUC
RNAcentral lists this ribosomal RNA (88 nucleotides) under Klebsiella pneumoniae. The record is from RNAcentral. RNAcentral also lists the same sequence under 1 other name. Lineage: Bacteria; Pseudomonadati; Pseudomonadota; Gammaproteobacteria; Enterobacterales; Enterobacteriaceae.